AUUGAACGCUGGCGGCAGGCCUAACACAUGCAAGCCGAGCGGAAACGAAAAGUAGCUUGCUACUUUGGCGUCAAGCGGCGGACGGGUGAGUAAUGCCUAGGGAACUGCCCAGUCGAGGGGGGAUAACAGUUGGAAACGACUGCUAAUACCGCAUACGCCCUACGGGGGAAAGGAGGGGACCUUCGGGCCUUUCGCGAUUGGAUGUACCUAGGUGGGAUUAGCUAGUUGGUAAGGUAAUGGCUUACCAAGGCGACGAUCCCUAGCUGUUCUGAGAGGAUGAUCAGCCACACUGGGACUGAGACACGGCCCAG
Molecule: ribosomal RNA, 311 nt
Filed under: uncultured Shewanella sp.
Lineage: Bacteria; Pseudomonadati; Pseudomonadota; Gammaproteobacteria; Alteromonadales; Shewanellaceae
Description: bacterial SSU rRNA
Rfam family: Bacterial small subunit ribosomal RNA
Source: RNAcentral